CAAUAGCGUAUAUUUAAGUUGUUGCAGUUAAAAAGCUCGUAGUUGGAUUUCGGAUGGGAUUUGCCGGUCCGUCGUUACGAUGUGCACUGGCCAGUCCUAUCUUGUUGUCGGGGACUAGCUCCUUGGAUUCACUUCCUGGGACUAGGAGCUGACGAGGUUACUUUGAGUAAAUUAGAGUGUUCAAAGCAAGCCUACGCUCUGAAUACAUUAGCAUGGAAUAACACGAUAGGACUCUGGCUUAUCUUGUUGGUCUGUGAGACCAGAGUAAUGAUUAAGAGGGACAGUCGGGGACAUUCGUAUUUCAUUGUCAGAGGUGAAAUUCUUGGAUUUAUGAAAGGCGAACUUCUGCGAAAGCAUUUGUCAAGGAUGUUUUCAUUAA
Molecule: ribosomal RNA, 379 nt
Filed under: uncultured eukaryote
Lineage: Eukaryota
Description: partial 18S ribosomal RNA
Rfam family: Eukaryotic small subunit ribosomal RNA
Source: RNAcentral